This 522-nucleotide ribosomal RNA is filed under the name uncultured bacterium. RNAcentral describes it as "bacterial SSU rRNA". It matches the Rfam family "Archaeal small subunit ribosomal RNA", at positions 345 to 866 of the family's 1478-position model. The record is from RNAcentral.
AACCUCCGCAAUGUGAGAAAUCGCGACGGGGGGAUCCCAAGUGCCAUUCUUAACGGGAUGGCUUUUCAUUAGUGUAAAGAGCUUUUGGAAUAAGAGCUGGGCAAGACCGGUGCCAGCCGCCGCGGUAACACCGGCAGCUCUAGUGGUAACAAUUUUUAUUGGGCCUAAAGCGUCCGUAGCCGGUUUAAUAAGUCUCUGGUGAAAUCCUGUAGCUUAACUGUGGGAAUUGCUGGAGAUACUAUUAGACUUGAGACCGGGAGAGGUUAGAGGUACUCCCAGGGUAGAGGUGAAAUUCUGUAAUCCUGGGAGGACCGCCUGUUGCGAAGGCGUCUAACUGGAACGGUUCUGACGGUGAGGGACGAAAGUUAGGGGCGCGAAACCGGAUUAGAUACCCGGGUAGUCCUAACUGUAAACGAUGCGGACUUGGUGUUGGGGUGGCUUUGAACUGCUCCAGUGCCGAAGGGCAGCUGUUAAGUCCGCUGCCUGGGAAGUACGGUCGCAAGACUGAAACUUAAAGGAAUU